This 468-nucleotide ribosomal RNA is filed under the name uncultured bacterium. RNAcentral's name for it is "bacterial SSU rRNA". It matches the Rfam family "Bacterial small subunit ribosomal RNA", at positions 28 to 524 of the family's 1533-position model. The record is from RNAcentral.
GACGAACGCUGGCGGCGUGCUUUAGACAUGCAAGUCGAACGAGAUCUUCGGAUCUAGUGGCGAACGGCGGAGUAAUACAUAAACAACGUGCCCUGAAGACUGGGAUAUACGGUCGAAAGGCCGAGCAAUACCGGAUGUGGCCGAGACUAGGCAUCUAGACUCGAUUAAAUGGUUUUUCGCUUCAGGAGCGGUUUAUGACUCAUCAGCUAGUUGGUAGGGUAAUGGCCUACCAAGGCUACGACGGGUAGGGGGUCUGAGAGGAUGAUCCCCCCGAGUGGGACUGAGACACGGCCCACACACCUACGGGUGGCAGCAGUUUGGAAUCUUGCCCAAUGGGGGAAACCCUGAGGCAGCGACGCCGCGUGGAGGAUGAAGGAUUUAGGCUGUAAACUCCUUUUGCCAGGAAAGACUUAGGACGGUACCUGGCGAAUAAGCUCCGGCUAACUACGUGCCAGCAGCCGCGGUAAU